GAUGAACGCUAGCGGCAGGCCUAAUACAUGCAAGUCAAGGGGUUCAGCAAUGGACACCGGCGGACGGGUGCGUAACGCGUACACAACGUGCCCAAGGGCGGGGGAAAGCGGCGGGAAACUGCCGGUAAUACCCCAUGGUGUUGUUGGAUGGCACCAUCCGGCAACUAAAGUACAAGCGCCCUUGGAUCGGUGUGCGUCCGAUUAGCUUGUUGGCGGGGUAACGGCCCACCAAGGCUCCGAUCGGUAGGGGGGUGAGAGCAUGGCCCCCCANAC
This 273-nucleotide ribosomal RNA is filed under the name uncultured bacterium. RNAcentral's name for it is "partial 16S ribosomal RNA". It matches the Rfam family "Bacterial small subunit ribosomal RNA", at positions 28 to 313 of the family's 1533-position model. The record is from RNAcentral.